CUCUAAGGCCAUACCACCCUGAACGUGCCCGAUCUCAUCUGAUCUCAGAAGCUAAGCAGGGUCGGGCCUGGUUAGUACUUGGAUGGGAUUCCUCCUGGGAAUACUGGGUGCCGUAGGCU
Molecule: ribosomal RNA, 119 nt
Filed under: Chelonia mydas (Green sea turtle)
Lineage: Eukaryota; Metazoa; Chordata; Testudines; Cheloniidae
Source: RNAcentral